Molecule: non-coding RNA, 72 nt
Organism: Phrynosoma platyrhinos (Desert horned lizard)
Lineage: Eukaryota; Metazoa; Chordata; Lepidosauria; Squamata; Phrynosomatidae
Source: the annotation of a GenBank genome assembly
GUCAGCAUGGUGUAGUGGUUUGAGUGUUGGACUAUGACUCUGGAGACCAGGGUUCGAUUCCCCGCUCCAGCA